UCGGAACCGAGGUUAAUACCGGAUACUCCAUAUUUGUCGCAUGGCGAAUAUGGGAAAGGCUCCGGCGGCAAAGGAUGGGCCCGCGGCCUGUUAGCUAGUUGGUGGGGUAGUGGCCUACCAAGGCAAUGAUGGGUAGCCGGGUUGAGAGACCGACCGGCCAGAUUGGGACUGAGACACGGCCCAGACUCCUACGGGAGGCAGCAGGU
RNAcentral lists this ribosomal RNA (206 nucleotides) under uncultured Atopobium sp. Its description in RNAcentral is "partial 16S ribosomal RNA". It matches the Rfam family "Bacterial small subunit ribosomal RNA", at positions 149 to 354 of the family's 1533-position model. Lineage: Bacteria; Bacillati; Actinomycetota; Coriobacteriia; Coriobacteriales; Atopobiaceae. The record is from RNAcentral.